GACAGAGGGGGCAAGCGUUGCUCGGAAUUACUGGGCGUAAAGCGCGCGCAGGUGGGUGCGUAAGUCGGAGGUGAAAGCGCAGGGCUCAACCCUGCGACGCCCUUCGAGACUGCGUGUCUAGGGACCGGUAGAGGUGAGUGGAAUUCCCGGUGUAGCGGUGGAAUGCGUAGAUAUCGGGAAGAACACCGGAGGCGAAGGCGGCUCACUGGGCCGGAUCCGACACUGAGGCGCGAAAGCGUGGGGAGCAAACAGG
This 253-nucleotide ribosomal RNA is filed under the name uncultured bacterium. RNAcentral describes it as "partial 16S ribosomal RNA". It matches the Rfam family "Bacterial small subunit ribosomal RNA", at positions 524 to 776 of the family's 1533-position model. The record is from RNAcentral.